Molecule: ribosomal RNA, 253 nt
Filed under: uncultured bacterium
Lineage: Bacteria
Description: partial 16S ribosomal RNA
Rfam family: Bacterial small subunit ribosomal RNA
Source: RNAcentral
UACGGAGGAUCCAAGCGUUAUCCGGAUUUAUUGGGCUUAAAGGGUGCGUAGGCGGCCUAUUAAGUCAGGGGUGAAAGACGGUAGCUUAACUAUCGCAGUGCCUUUGAUACUGAUGGGCUUGAAUAUACUUGAGGUAGGCGGAAUGUGACAAGUAGCGGUGAAAUGCAUAGAUAUGUCACAGAACACCAAUUGCGAAGGCAGCUUACUAAAGUAUGAUUGACGCUGAGGCACGAGAGCGUGGGGAUCAAACAGG